RNAcentral lists this non-coding RNA (24 nucleotides) under Arabidopsis thaliana (thale cress). Lineage: Eukaryota; Viridiplantae; Streptophyta; Magnoliopsida; Brassicales; Brassicaceae. The record is from RNAcentral.
UGUCAAAAUGUCGACUCCAGCUCA